GGGGAUUUGGCUCAGUGGUAGAGCACUUGCCUAGGAAGCACAAGGUGCCAAGGAAGCACAAGGUCCUGGGUUCAAUCCCCA
RNAcentral lists this transfer RNA (81 nucleotides) under Rattus norvegicus (Norway rat). It matches the Rfam family "tRNA". From Rfam's summary of the family: Transfer RNA (tRNA) molecules are approximately 80 nucleotides in length. Their secondary structure includes four short double-helical elements and three loops (D, anti-codon, and T loops). Further hydrogen bonds mediate the characteristic L-shaped molecular structure. tRNAs have two regions of fundamental functional importance: the anti-codon, which is responsible for specific mRNA codon recognition, and the 3' end, to which the tRNAs corresponding amino acid is attached (by aminoacyl-tRNA synthetases). tRNAs cope with the degeneracy of the genetic code in two manners: having more than one tRNA (with a specific anti-codon) for a particular amino acid; and 'wobble' base-pairing, i.e. permitting non-standard base-pairing at the 3rd anti-codon position. The record is from Rfam by way of RNAcentral. Lineage: Eukaryota; Metazoa; Chordata; Mammalia; Rodentia; Muridae.